GUAGUCCACGCCGUAAACGUUGGGCGCUAGGUGUGGGUCCCAUUCCACGGGGUCCGUGCCGCAGCUAACGCAUUAAGCGCCCCGCCUGGGGAGUACGGCCGCAAGGCUAAAACUCAAAGGAAUUGACGGGGGCCCGCACAAGCGGCGGAGCAUGCGGAUUAAUUCGAUGCAACGCGAAGAACCUUACCAAGGCUUGACAUGCACCGGAAACUCCCAGAGAUGGGGGCCCCGCAAGGUCGGUACACAGGUGGUGCAUGGUUGUCGUCAGCUCGUGUCGUGAGAUGUUGGGUUAAGUCCCGCAACGAGCGCAACCCUCGUUCUAUGUUUCCAGCACGUGAUGGUGGGGACUCAUAGGAGACUGCCGGGGUCAACUCGGA
Molecule: ribosomal RNA, 377 nt
Filed under: uncultured bacterium
Lineage: Bacteria
Description: bacterial SSU rRNA
Rfam family: Bacterial small subunit ribosomal RNA
Source: RNAcentral